CAGUAGCCACGGUAAUACGUAGGGUGCGAGCGUUAAUCGGAAUUACUGGGCGUAAAGCGUGCGCAGGCGGUUGUGUAAGACAGGUGUGAAAUCCCCGGGCUUAACCUGGGAACUGCGCUUGUGACUGCACAGCUAGAGUAUGGCAGAGGGGGGUGGAAUUCCACGUGUAGCAGCGAAAUGCGUAGAGAUGUGGAGGAACACCGAUGGCGAAGGCAGCCCCCUGGGCCAACACUGACGCUCAUGCCCGAAAGCGUGGGGAGCAAACAGGAUUAGAUACCCCCGUAGUCCCUGUCUCUUAUAC
This 301-nucleotide ribosomal RNA is filed under the name uncultured bacterium. Its description in RNAcentral is "partial 16S ribosomal RNA". It matches the Rfam family "Bacterial small subunit ribosomal RNA", at positions 509 to 807 of the family's 1533-position model. The record is from RNAcentral.